RNAcentral lists this ribosomal RNA (344 nucleotides) under uncultured bacterium. RNAcentral describes it as "bacterial SSU rRNA". It matches the Rfam family "Bacterial small subunit ribosomal RNA", at positions 167 to 507 of the family's 1533-position model. The record is from RNAcentral.
UACCGCAUACGCCUGGAGGGAAGCGGGGGAUCGUAAGACCUCGCGUUAAUGGAGCGGCCGAUGCCGGAUUAGCUAGUUGGUGAGGUAAAAGGGCUCACCAAGGCGACGAUCCGUAGCUGGUCUGAGAGGACGACCAGCCACACUGGAACUGAGACACGGUCCAGACUCCUACGGGAGGCAGCAGUGGGGAAUUUUGGACAAUGGGCGCAAGCCUGAUCCAGCCAUUCCGCGUGAGUGAAGAAGGCCUUCGGGUUGUAAAGCUCUUUCGCAAGGAAAGAAAACUUAUCUCCUAAUACGAGGUGAGGUUGACGGUACCUUGAUAAGAAGCACCGGCUAACUACGUG